This 380-nucleotide ribosomal RNA is filed under the name uncultured eukaryote. Its description in RNAcentral is "partial 18S ribosomal RNA". It matches the Rfam family "Eukaryotic small subunit ribosomal RNA", at positions 592 to 976 of the family's 1831-position model. The record is from RNAcentral.
CAAUAGCGUAUAUUAAAGUUGUUGCGGUUAAAAAGCUCGUAGUUGGAUUUCUGCUGAGAACGACCGGUCCGCCCUUUGGGUGUGUAUCUGGCUCUUUCUUGGCAUCUUCUUGGUGAACGUUGCUGCACUUGACUGUGUGGAGCGCUACCCAGGACUUUUACUUUGAGGAAAUUAGAGUGUUUCAAGCAGGCAUACGCCUUGAAUACAUUAGCAUGGAAUAAUAAGAUAGGACCUCGGUUCUAUUUUGUUGGUUUCUAGAGCUGAGGUAAUGAUUAAUAGGGAUAGUUGGGGGCAUUCGUAUUUGACUGUCAGAGGUGAAAUUCUUAGAUUCGUUGAGGACCAACCACUGCGAAAGCAUUUGUCAAGGAUGUCUCCAUUAA